ACAACAUUCGGAGGAGCGUCGGUCUACCGAGCAAUAUCACCCGCUCGGUAGAAGAUCUUCCCUAUCAUCGU
RNAcentral lists this microRNA precursor (71 nucleotides) under Bombyx mori (domestic silkworm). Its description in RNAcentral is "mir-2774 microRNA precursor family". It matches the Rfam family "mir-2774 microRNA precursor family". Lineage: Eukaryota; Metazoa; Arthropoda; Insecta; Lepidoptera; Bombycidae. The record is from Rfam by way of RNAcentral.